UAGGGUGAAAUCAAUUAGAUAUUUCUUUUACAAUGAAAUUUAGCUUUUAGCCACUCUAA
RNAcentral lists this transfer RNA (59 nucleotides) under Alectorobius mimon. RNAcentral's name for it is "tRNA-Val". The record is from RNAcentral. Lineage: Eukaryota; Metazoa; Arthropoda; Arachnida; Ixodida; Argasidae.